Penaeus monodon (black tiger shrimp) is the source of this 687-nucleotide long non-coding RNA. RefSeq lists it as uncharacterized. Lineage: Eukaryota; Metazoa; Arthropoda; Malacostraca; Decapoda; Penaeidae. The record is from RefSeq and is a predicted model, not a curated record. The transcript has 4 exons.
GUUUUAUCCGAAUCGCAGAGUGUUGUUGUCAUCACAGUCGUCACAAGAAAUCUCUCCCACGCCUGUGACUUGUGAUCUGCCAGCCUUUAAGAAUUUAUUUUGGCUAGAAGACACACUUGUCGGACAUUUCUACGGUUGUUUGACAACUGAUACGACAUGUCUGCAUUGUUCAACUUUCAAAGUCUCCUGAGUGUGUUGCUGUUGAUGAUCUGUACCUGUGCAUAUAUACGAUCCUUUGCCCCUUCAUUGCUUGACAGACAGAAGACUGGCUUGGUUGGGACCUUUUGGAAGAUGGCAAGAAUAGGGGAGAGGAAAAGCCCGUGGGUGGCUGCAGCAUGCAUCAUGAUGGCUGUGAAUGUACUCUUCCUGUCAUAGUUAUAGUGCUUUAGUUGUAAGGAUUAAAUUGAAGAUGGCAUAGUCACAAGAAAUAAUGUAUAGGCAAAGGAAGUUUGGAGUCUGCAAACAUCAGCUGAUUUCAAAAUGUUGUAGUAUUUCUUAACAAAGAGGAUGCAAGUGGUUUUGUGCUUUAAUUUACUAAGGAGAUGCUCAACGAAAAACUAAAUAGGAGGAAAAACUUGUUCCCCUAGAAUUUUGCUGUAUUGCCUGAAAGGAAGACCAAAUUUUUUGUGAUGCUACUGUAAAGUUUUAUAUGUUGUCUCAUGAAAAUAAUCAUGACAAGUAUUUUUC